CUGGAAACCGGCCUCUCAGAUUCCCCUUACCUGAUUCAAAGAGCCUCUUUGGCCUAAAAGCCAACCCUGGCAGUGACCCGCACGCACACACGCACACACCGACAGCAGCCUCGGAGGUCACUCUGGACGGAUUCCCUACACCACAGGUGAAGCCGGGAGCAGCUCUCACCGGGGCUGUGGGUGCGGUGGGCGGGCUGGGUGCGCACCCCACCUUCUCGCCUCUUGGGGACAGUGCUGCGGCGGAUUCCACGCGGUCUCGAGUGUCCUCAGCGAGACUGAGCCCCUGUGGCCCUCUGGACACCUGCUCAGGCACGAGCCCCGUACUCCCGUUGUACCCAAAUGCUCGCCUCAGGUCCGCUGGGGGGAAACCCAAGCUCGAACGACUUCUUCCUGUUUUCUUCUGAAAAUUCCUGACUCUGUUCCCAUUCGUCUUUCUGCGUUUCAGGAGAGGCAGCACCCAGCCCAGCCAAGCCCUGCCCCUCUCCUCUCCCGCCUCGCCUCGAACAGUCCCUUCCUCCUCCCGGUGCCUCCUCGCCUGCACAGGCUCCCACCACAGAUCCCGACCGGCCUCCGGGUGCCUCCGGGUUUCCCCUCCCUACCCAACCCCCGCCUUCAACUGCAGCCCCGCGGUGCGCGGCGAGGACGUUUCCACCAGCGACAGCCUGGCCUCCAAGGGUGCACCUGGUACCGCGCGGGUGUCCCGCGGCACACCCUCUGGGGGUGCGAGGGCUCUCGGUGGCCUCCACAGAGGACGUGAAGGGCCCGUUUCCCGGAACGGCCGUGCCGCUCAGCCGCUCAGCCGCGCGCGGGACUGGGAGCCGCUUCAUUGACUCGUCUGCCCGGAGGAUCCCGCUGCUUCCUCACGUCCUGUAUCUUUCUAGAAACAUCCUGACCAUGACCCACAUGUGACACAGCUCAGCCAGUAGAUUGAGGCUUCCUGAGCAUAGAAGAGGAGGCUUACGGACCACCAUACCACUGCUCCCAGUGCAGAAGAGGUGAGCCACCUGGGCAUCAGCAGCACCGCACCCACCCCCUCAUCAAAAUGAGAAGACACAUAAACAAGUCUCAAAACCAGACUUCCAGAUCACCUACAGCAACCCCAAAGGGAAAUGAGAUGGAACACUCUGAUACUCAACCACCUGGACUCCCUGAACUGGUAACAAAAGAGAAUAUGGAAAAAGCAAGAGCAGCUAUCCUCUUUGCAGAUCAAGUGGAUUUCGAACCAACACUGAUUAAGAGAGACAAAGAAGGACACUACAUCCUUGUAAAGGGAACAAUCCAAGAGGAAGAGAUGACAAUCAUAAAUAUAUAUGCACCAAACACUAGUGCGCCC
Molecule: long non-coding RNA, 1333 nt
Filed under: Heterocephalus glaber (naked mole-rat)
Lineage: Eukaryota; Metazoa; Chordata; Mammalia; Rodentia; Bathyergidae
Description: lncRNA (ENSHGLG00000035809.1)
Source: RNAcentral